GACGAACGCUGGCGGCGUGCUUAACACAUGCAAGUCGAACGGUAAGGCCCCAGCUUGCUGGGGUACACGAGUGGCGAACGGGUGAGUAACACGUGGGUGACCUGCCCCGCACUUCGGGAUAAGCCUGGGAAAUUGGGUCUAAUACCGGAUAGGACCGCACCGUGAGGGUGGGGUGGAAAGUUUUUCGGUGUGGGAUGGGCCCGCGGCCUAUCAGCUUGUUGGUGGGGUAAGGGCCUACCAAGGCGGCGAAGGGUAGCCGGCCUGAGAGGGUGGACGGCCACAUUGGGACUGAGACACGGCCCAGACUCCUACGGGAGGCAGCAGUGGGGAAUAUUGCACAAUGGGCGGAAGCCUGAUGCAGCGACGCCGCGUGGGGGAUGACGGCCUUCGGGUUGUAAACUCCUUUCACCAUCGACGAAGGUUUUCUGACGGUAGAUGGAGAAGAAGCACCGGCUAACUACGUG
RNAcentral lists this ribosomal RNA (464 nucleotides) under uncultured bacterium. RNAcentral's name for it is "partial 16S ribosomal RNA". It matches the Rfam family "Bacterial small subunit ribosomal RNA", at positions 28 to 507 of the family's 1533-position model. The record is from RNAcentral.